Molecule: long non-coding RNA, 512 nt
Filed under: Homo sapiens (human)
Lineage: Eukaryota; Metazoa; Chordata; Mammalia; Primates; Hominidae
Description: HSALNT0003759
Source: RNAcentral
GGGGGAGCCAGCAGAGGGUUUGCAGGUAGAGGCAGUGGGAGGGGCGGUUGCCUAGCAACCCCACAGCUGUCUGUUGACCUAGAAGAAGCUGCGCCGUCUUGACACAGCUGGUGUUUACAUGUAACCGAGGCUCUGGCUUAGCGCUUGCUUGGAGGAAAGCUGAGGUAGGGCCCUCGUGGCAGCCUGUCCCCAGAGGACCACGGGCCCUGACAUGUCCCACCUGCACCCACACAAGUACCCAUAGCACAAACACGUGCCUGCCUAGGGUGUGGUGUGGGCAGAGCUGAGACUCCUCCCUACCCACAAGCCCCCCUCAUCCAGCAGUUCCUCCUCCCCGCAGGGCCCAAGGGGCCGGCUGGGGCCCCACAGUCCCAUCAGCCCAAGCAGUGAGCAGAAGGAGGAGAGCAGAUAUUUUUAGCUUCUCUGCCACUGACAUUUCGCAGCAGGCGACCUGGGGUGAAGCUGAGUGAGUGCUGAAGGCUGGGAGAAGCCGACAGCGCCUUCCCACCCCC